RNAcentral lists this long non-coding RNA (242 nucleotides) under Panax ginseng (ginseng). Its description in RNAcentral is "long non-coding RNA (PGIN_LNC000707)". Lineage: Eukaryota; Viridiplantae; Streptophyta; Magnoliopsida; Apiales; Araliaceae. The record is from RNAcentral.
UAUACUAUGUAUAAAAAAUAAAAAAAAUCAAAUAGCAGUAACGUGGCUAGUCUUAUUUCGGGGCCCUGGCUACUUGAGCAAGUAUGCCCGAGGGGAUUGUCUCUACACCUAGCGCCCUAAGGUCUUUCAUGGUCUGGGAGUCGUUGGUUGAAAGCUCGCUAAGGGGUAGCAGUGUUGCCUAAUGGAAUAAGGCAUUGCACAGUCAUGUGUAAAAGAAAAAGAAAAUAAAAAUAGCAAUAAAC